This 253-nucleotide unclassified non-coding RNA is filed under the name uncultured Gemmatimonadota bacterium. RNAcentral describes it as "uncultured Gemmatimonadetes bacterium contains 16S-23S intergenic spacer region". It matches the Rfam family "Bacterial small subunit ribosomal RNA", at positions 524 to 776 of the family's 1533-position model. Lineage: Bacteria; Pseudomonadati; Gemmatimonadota. The record is from RNAcentral.
UACGGAGGGUGCGAGCGUUAAUCGGAAUUACUGGGCGUAAAGCGCGCGCAGGCGGGCGAGGAAGUCGGGGGUGAAAGCCCGGGGCUCAACCCUGGGACGACUCUCGAAACUCCUGGUCUAGGGACCGGUAGAGGCCGGUGGAAUUCCCGGAGUAGCGGUGGAAUGCGUAGAGAUCGGGAAGAACACCAGUGGCGAAGGUGGCCGGCUGGGCCGGGUCCGACGCUGAGGCGCGAAAGCGUGGGGAGCAAACAGG